GACGAACGCUGGCGGCGUGCCUAACACAUGCAAGUCGAGCGAGAGACUUCGGUCUCUAGCGGCGGACGGGUGAGUAACACGUGGGUAACCUGCCUCAUAGUGGGGGAUAGCCUUCCGAAAGGAAGAUUAAUACCGCAUAUACUCUCGAUACCACAUGGUGUUUAGAGGAAAGGAGCAAUCCGCUAUGAGAUGGACCCGCGGCGCAUUAGCUAGUUGGUGAGGUAACGGCUCACCAAGGCGACGAUGAGUAGCCGACCGGAGAGGGUGAUCGGCCACAUUGGAACUGAGACACGGUCCAGACUCCUACGGGAGGCAGGAGUGGGGAAUAUUGCACAAUGGGCGAAAGCCUGAUGCAGCAACGCCGCGUGAGUGAUGACGGCCUUCGGGUUGUAAAGCUCUGUCUUUUGGGACGAUAAUGACGGUACCAAAGGAGGAAGCCACGGCUAACUACGUGCCAGCCGCCGCUGUAA
Molecule: ribosomal RNA, 470 nt
Filed under: uncultured bacterium
Lineage: Bacteria
Description: partial 16S ribosomal RNA
Rfam family: Bacterial small subunit ribosomal RNA
Source: RNAcentral